UCUGUUGCCAUCGACACAAACAGAAGUCCUAGGUGUGGAGGCAUGGCAGAGCUGUCAGAACACCUGGGGUCGACAUCCGACACUCUGUGUGAUUUUGGACAAGUUCCCACUCCUCUCGGAGCUGGUUCCUCAUCUGAAAAAUGAGGUUGCAAUACCUACCUCUGAGAUGGGGAGGGGAUCGAAUAAAAUAAGAGGUGUCAUAGCCCCGAGGAAGCGAGAAGUAAUUCCUUCAACAGCUACUCAGGAAGCACCUGGCACUGUUGCUGUCAAACAGGACGAAAAAAGGACCCGCCCUCUUGGAGUUUCCAUUCGAAGGGGGCAUUUGCACUGGAGUUAUUUGCCGGACCAGCUCUUCCUGAAGGAGCCUGUCUCUAUUUGUGAAACCACCAAGUUCCCCAUCACGUCAGAACCUCAGGAUCGUCUCUGACAGGUACCCAACUCCCUGCCACUCACUGCUCUCCCUCUUCUCCUUCCUCUGCACCCACCUAGGUCAGGGGGUGGCUUCUGCCAGUCCCUCUCCUUCUCUGGCUCUGCUUCCUCCUAACAUAAGGAACUGGGGUUAGGGAGAGGGAUUUCCAGGAACUUCCAAGUGGUCAUCAAUGAUUGAAUGGUUUGUUACUCCUUCGUAGAGUGGACUCCUCCCUUGCAUGGUGAGGUGAUGGCUGGGCAAGAUGAACCCACACACCCAGGAGGACCUUUUGAGAUUACCAGGAUGGCCAGGGUAGGCGAAGCCAAGAAGUUCCUUUAUGAUCUGACCUUUUUGGUUCCUGCUUCUUGCCCAGUGCAGCCAUGGUAAAUACAUCUUCAUCAGGGCCUGGUCACUCAGCGAACCAGCCCUGGUCAGCAGCCUACAGAGGCCCCACCCUGCGCCAGCCCUUGGGGCAGACAUGCCCUGGGGGUGCUCAAGAUCUAACAGAGGUGUGAGGCUGAAACAGGUGAAAUAAGGAGGGGCAAACAAGUAUGCAAGGAAUUGUUUAAAUAGCAAGGCGGUUGGCUGGACUGAGCUCCUCGUGAAAGGAUGGGCAUAUUAAAUGGAUCCAAGGUCUAGUCUAUGACCAAGAUCAGAACUCAGUCUGGGGCUGGGUUUAUGCCUCAAUAUAUGGCCAGGAUCAGACCUCAGGCUGGGACCAAGGUUAGGGCUCAGAUUGUGACCAAGAUCAAGGCUCAGACUAUGACCAAGAUUAGGGCUCGGUCUGUGGCCAAGAUUACAGUCCAAAUGAGACCUGAGGUCCAAGGCCAUUCUCUGGCCAGAGCGAGGCUAAACUGUGGUCAGGAUCAUGGCUCAGUUU
Molecule: long non-coding RNA, 1289 nt
Filed under: Equus caballus (horse)
Lineage: Eukaryota; Metazoa; Chordata; Mammalia; Perissodactyla; Equidae
Description: lncRNA (ENSECAG00000038269.3)
Source: RNAcentral